Hippopotamus amphibius kiboko is the source of this 128-nucleotide small nucleolar RNA. RefSeq annotates it as small nucleolar RNA SNORA25. NCBI's taxonomy places the organism in Eukaryota, Metazoa, Chordata, Mammalia, Artiodactyla, Hippopotamidae. The transcript has a single exon. The record is from RefSeq and is a predicted model, not a curated record.
AGGUCAUUUCAAAGAGGGCUCAUGGGGCUAUGAAACUAGGAGCUCUUAACUCUACGACCAAAGCCUGCAUUCUUCCUAGGAUGCUAUAGUCACUCAAUAGGGCUAAGUUUUUAUGAGGAGAUAUAACA